CCUACGGGGGGCAGCAGUGAGGAAUAUUGGUCAAUGGGAGAGAUCCUGAACCAGCCAAGCCGCGUGAGGGAAGACGGCCCUAUGGGUUGUAAACCUCUUUUGUCGGGGAACAAAACCCGGGACGUGUCCCGGACUGCGUGUAUCCGAAGAAAAAGCAUCGGCUAACUCCGUGCCAGCAGCCGCGGUAAUACGGAGGAUGCGAGCGUUAUCCGGAUUUAUUGGGUUUAAAGGGUGCGUAGGCGGUCCGUUAAGUCAGUUGUGAAAGUUUGCGGCUCAACCGUAAAAUUGCAAUUGAUACUGGCAGCCUUGAGUACAGUUGAGGUAGGCGGAAGUCGUGGUGUAGCGGUGAAAUGCUUAGAUAUCACGAAGAACUCCGAUUGCGAAGGCAGCCUACUAAACUGCCACUGACAUUGAUGCUCGAAAGUGUGGGUAUCAAACAGGAUUAGAUACCCUGGUAGUC
Molecule: ribosomal RNA, 460 nt
Filed under: uncultured bacterium
Lineage: Bacteria
Description: partial 16S ribosomal RNA
Rfam family: Bacterial small subunit ribosomal RNA
Source: RNAcentral